Molecule: long non-coding RNA, 1078 nt
Organism: Panicum virgatum (switchgrass)
Lineage: Eukaryota; Viridiplantae; Streptophyta; Magnoliopsida; Poales; Poaceae
Exons: 2
Source: RefSeq, a predicted model, not a curated record
UUUCUAUUUUGCAUUUUGUUAUAGUGGCCAGGAGGUCUUAAUAUUUCAUAUCAUUUAUAUGCUUGAAUCACCUGAAAUUAGUCUGUUAGAGGGUUGAGGUCCUUGGAAUAUAUGGUACUAUAUUAUUUAGGGUUAAUUGGAAGGGUACCAUUGCAACUAUUAAGAGUUGGAGAUAUACCACUACAACUUUUAAUAUUAGAGAUAUGCUACUUCCAUACGUCUUUCAACAUUUUAGGCCCACCCGCAGGGUACGUAUCCCUCUUAGCUUUUUCGUACGGACCGUAUUGCCCUUAUAUACGUUGCUCAUCCCAUCAUCGAUACUCAGAUUGCUUCGCCGCUGUACGUCGCGUCGAUGCUCUAGAUGCUGCCGCGCGCAGGGCCCUGCCGGCUGCCGCAGGCGGCACCGCGGGCGCCUGACACUGCGCGCGGGCGCAGGCCCCUGCGCCAUUCUCUUCCGCAGGCCUCUGCCUGGCCCUCCCUGCCGCGGGCACGCCUGCCCCAGCCACGGUCGCAGCAGGCGGUGCGAUCCUCCUCAGUUCGUCGACUUCGCCGCGCGAUAGCAGUACGUCCGCCCAACCUGAUGCAUCGGCCGCGAGCUAGCCUCCCGCCCGUCCGGCGACACUGGCGCAGUUUCGUCCGGCGGCGGCACCGAGGGCAUCGACGCGACGUACAGCGGGGAAGCGAUCUAAGUACCGAUGAUGGGAUGAGCAACGUACAGAAGGGCAAUACGGUCCAUACGAAAAAGCUAGAGGGAUACGUACCCUGCGGGUGGGCCUAAGAUGUUGAAAGACGUAUGGGAGUAGCAUAUCUCCAAUAUUAGAAGUUGUAGUAUUAUAUCUCCAACUCUUAAAAGUUGCGAUGGUACCCUUCCAAUUAACCCUAUUAUUUAUGCGCACAAGCGCUUGUGUGUACACACCACACAUGCUCGCACAUGGCCAUGUUGAGAAAAGAUUGGAGGCCUAGCCUCGUGUAACGUGGGGAACAUGCUUCGACCACUGACUGCACCAAUAUAUGCAUGUACCACUACUGCCUGGAAUGAAUCUGAGAGGAAUAUGAUGAAUUGAUGAUAUGUAGACAA